GUGCUUGCUUCGGCAGCACAUAAUGCUAAAAUUGGAACGAUACAGAGAAAAUUAGCAUGGUCCUUGUGCAUGGAUGACACAUAAAUUUGUGUUCCAUAUUUUA
Molecule: small nuclear RNA, 103 nt
Organism: Lemur catta (Ring-tailed lemur)
Lineage: Eukaryota; Metazoa; Chordata; Mammalia; Primates; Lemuridae
Source: RefSeq, a predicted model, not a curated record